UGAAGACUGCCAAAUCCAUGCUAAGAACCCUCACUAUAAAGCACCAGUGAUUUUGAAGGUUCUCGAUAUCUUUCUCCACCAAAUGAGUUCCUGUGACAUCCAAGGACUUGGCUGGGAGAUACUCCUUUGGUCUGGAUAGGAUUUCCUCGUUUCCAAAUCAUCGGCGGGCGAGUGAUUGUCUUCCUUAUCUGGCUCUUGAAGGCAAUAAACCGAGUUUCAAGGAGAGGCAAAGAAACCGUGACCCGGAUACUGCCGGAGCUGCCGCGGUCGGGGCGCCCGAGCCCUAAUUAAAAGCGUCGUGGCCGCCUCUGGUUCCCGGCUGUGCGCCCAGGAGCGCGCCCUGAGGCUUUGGGCCGGGCACCCCCCACCCCCGCGCCUGGUCUGCUCAUCUCCGGGCUUCAGGCCCCCGCCCCAGCCCCUUGGAAAAGAGCAAGGCGAGCAGCCGAGCCCACCAGGGACGAGCGACCUACAUCGCGCGCAGAUACUGGGGCACCGCGAGCGCGCGUGGCCGCCGGGUCUGUCCGCCCGACUCCUGCCGAGAACGCGGCCCAGGCUGCGACCUUCGGGGUGGGUGGGGGGACAUCGUCCGGGGUUCGGCUGCCUAGACCUGCCCGAUUUUCCGCUGCCCCCAACCCCUCCUCUGUGAGGAACCUGGUAAGGCGCGCAAGUGCAGGGCGGCCCCCACCACCCCGCGUUGGGCCUCAGCUACCCUGGCGUUUCUGGGGUACCCAAGUGCGCGGCCAUGUGCCCCCAUCCUCCGCCCCGAUC
This 768-nucleotide long non-coding RNA is filed under the name Pan troglodytes (chimpanzee). RNAcentral describes it as "long non-coding RNA NONPTRT005697". Lineage: Eukaryota; Metazoa; Chordata; Mammalia; Primates; Hominidae. The record is from RNAcentral.